GAUGAACGCUGCGGCGUGCUUAACACAUGCAAGUCGAGCGAUGAAGUUUCCUUCGGGAAACGGAUUAGCGGCGGACGGGUGAGUAACACGUGGGUAACCUGCCUCAUAGAGUGGAAUAGCCUUUCGAAAGGAAGAUUAAUACCGCAUAAUGUUGAAAGAUGGCAUCAUCAUUUAACCAAAGGAGCAAUCCGCUAUGAGAUGGACCCGCGGCGCAUUAGCUAGUUGGUGGGGUAACGGCCUACCAAGGCGACGAUGCGUAGCCGACCUGAGAGGGUGAUCGGCCACAUUGGGACUGAGACACGGCCCAGACUCCUACGGGAGGCAGCAGUGGGGAAUAUUGCACAAUGGGGGAAACCCUGAUGCAGCAACGCCGCGUGAGUGAUGAAGGUUUUCGGAUCGUAAAGCUCUGUCUUUGGGGAAGAUAAUGACUGUACCGGAAGAAUAAGCCCCGGCAAACUUCGUGCCAGCCGCCGCAGUAA
Molecule: ribosomal RNA, 479 nt
Filed under: uncultured bacterium
Lineage: Bacteria
Description: partial 16S ribosomal RNA
Rfam family: Bacterial small subunit ribosomal RNA
Source: RNAcentral